AGCAGCCGCGGUAAUUCCAGCUCCAAUAGCGUAUAUUAAAGUUGCUGCAGUUAAAAAGCUCGUAGUUGAAUUUCGGGAUCAAUAUGUCGGUCGUGCCUCGGUACGUACUGGCUUAUUGGUUUCUCCUUUCUGAAGAACCAUGAUGUCAUUUAUUUGGUGUCGUGGGAAAUCAGGACUGUUACUUUGAAAAAAUUAGAGUGUUUAAAGCAGGCUCACGCUUGAAUACAUUAGCAUGGAAUAAUGAAAUAGGACGUUUGAUUCUAUUUUGUUGGUUUCUAGGAUCGACGUAAUGAUUAAUAGGGAUAGUUGGGGGCAUUAGUAUUCAAUUGUCAGAGGUGAAAUUCUUGGAUUUAUUGAAGACUAACUACUGCGAAAGCAUUUGCCAAGGAUGUUUUCAUUAAUCAAGAACGAAAGUUAGGGGAUCGAAGACGAUCAGAUACCGUCGUAGUCUUAACCAUAAACUAUGCCGACUAGGGAUCGGAUGAUGUUAAUUUUUUUAAUGACUCAUUCGGCGCCUUAC
This 520-nucleotide unclassified non-coding RNA is filed under the name uncultured Archaeospora. RNAcentral describes it as "SSU rRNA". It matches the Rfam family "Eukaryotic small subunit ribosomal RNA", at positions 569 to 1091 of the family's 1831-position model. The record is from RNAcentral. Lineage: Eukaryota; Fungi; Glomeromycota; Glomeromycetes; Archaeosporales; Archaeosporaceae.